Molecule: ribosomal RNA, 470 nt
Filed under: uncultured bacterium
Lineage: Bacteria
Description: bacterial SSU rRNA
Rfam family: Bacterial small subunit ribosomal RNA
Source: RNAcentral
UGGGGAAUAUUGGACAAUGGGGGCAACCCUGAUCCAGCCAUGCCGCGUGAGUGAAGAAGGCCUUCGGGUUGUAAAGCUCUUUCGGCGGGGACGAAACGGUCCGUGACAACACCACGGACUAAUGACAGUACUCGCAGAAGAAGCACCGGCUAACUACGUGCCAGCAGCCGCGGUAAUACGUAGGGUGCAGGCGUUAAUCGGAAUUACUGGGCGUAAAGCGUGCGCAGGCGGCUCCUUAAGUCAGAUGUGAAAGCCCCGGGCUUAACCUGGGAACUGCGUUUGAAACUGGGGAGCUAGAGUGUAGAAGAGGGGGGUGGAAUUCCAGGUGUAGCAGUGAAAUGCGUAGAGAUCUGGAGGAACACCGAUGGCGAAGGCAGCCCCCUGGGCUAACACUGACGCUCAUGCACGAAAGCGUGGGGAGCAAACAGGAUUAGAUACCCCCGUAGUCCCUGAGCGGGCUGGCAAGGCGC